RNAcentral lists this long non-coding RNA (809 nucleotides) under Phasianus colchicus (ring-necked pheasant). Its description in RNAcentral is "lncRNA (ENSPCLG00000007753.1)". Lineage: Eukaryota; Metazoa; Chordata; Aves; Galliformes; Phasianidae. The record is from RNAcentral.
CUUACUAGACGGAUUUUCCAGGGAAUAGAAGCCAUUAUAGAAGCCUUCACAGCAAUUUCCUUGCUUAGCAGGUCAGCUCUUUGGAAAGGCAAUGAAAGCCUUGUUCAAGGAGAGGGCUGAAAGCAUCACAAGGCUGACCUAUUUAUGUUAAGAUCCAACAACUGUAGAAAUCACACAGACUUCCAAAAAAAAUCCUGGCAGGGUUCUCACCCCUGAAACGGAGGAGAGAACUACAGCACUUUCCAGAGCCUGUGGCUAGGGCAGGGCUGACCCAGGGCAACCAGCUUCAGAGCAUUUUGCUCACUGCUGGCUAAAGGAGGGAACUGUUCCACCUUUGCAUGUCCCUUAGGAAAGAGGAGGGCUGGUUUAAUACUCAGGCAUUGCAACCUUGUGACCACAUCCCUUUGCUGGGUGAGAGGUGAUCUGCUCUGAAUUUAAACCAGUUCAGAGGUUUGAGAAUAAAGACAAAAAUACAUCACACGUGACUGGAAGUGUGUAUUUUUCAGAGGGACAUCUCUGGCUGACAAGGCUCACAAAGCACGGCAGGUCUUUGGGAUCAGGAGAGAAGUCAUGGAGGACGUAGUUGGUCUCCUUGCAGCCCCUUCCACAUGGCCAUGGGUAUCCCUCUGCUGGAUUCAGCACAGCGUCCAUUCAGUGUGUGGAUGAACCUCUGUUGUUACCAAGAACAGAAAACUUGAAAUCAUCCAGAACUCCUUAUGUUCACCACAACUGAAGCAACUGCAGACAGCAAUGCUGAACUGUCAAACCAGAUUAUAGAAAAAAGCAAAGAAGAUACGUCUCUUUGGUAA